This 266-nucleotide ribosomal RNA is filed under the name uncultured bacterium. RNAcentral describes it as "partial 16S ribosomal RNA". It matches the Rfam family "Bacterial small subunit ribosomal RNA", at positions 94 to 354 of the family's 1533-position model. The record is from RNAcentral.
AGUGGCGAACGGGUGAGUAACACGUGGGCAACCUGCCCAAAAGAGGGGGAUAACACUUGGAAACAGGUGCUAAUACCGCAUAACCAUAGUUACCGCAUGGUAACUAUGUAAAAGGUGGCUAUGCUACCGCUUUUGGAUGGGCCCGCGGCGCAUUAGCUAGUUGGUGGGGUAAAGGCUUACCAAGGCAACGAUCAGUAGCCGGCCUGAGAGGGUGAACGGCCACAUUGGGACUGAGACACGGCCCAAACUCCUACGGAAGGCAGCAG